Molecule: long non-coding RNA, 569 nt
Filed under: Homo sapiens (human)
Lineage: Eukaryota; Metazoa; Chordata; Mammalia; Primates; Hominidae
Description: non-protein coding lnc-PPIP5K1-1:3
Source: RNAcentral
GACUGGCCCAUCUUCUGCUAGUGGGGACAAAGAGUCAAUGGCAUGUCUCUCAGUGGCCCCUCCCUGCAAGAACCCUAUAGUGACCCCAGUGCGAGCUAACCUUCCCCAUCUCAGAUCCAGGCCCUGGAGGAUAGCUGGCCAGCAGCAGGUCUGGGGCCAGGGCAUGCCCGCCAUGUGCUGCGCAGCCUGGUAAACCAGAGUGUCCAGGAUGGUGAGGAGCAGGUACGCAGGUGGCAUAUGAACUUCUGGGUGUGUUGCGCUCAUCUGGAGGAGCGGUGCUGAGCCCCCGGGAGCUGCGGGUCUGGGCCCCUCUCUUCUCUCAGCUGGGCCUCCGCUUCCUUCAGGAGCUGUCAGAGCCCCAGCUUAGAGCCAUGCUUCCUGUCCUGCAGGGAACUAGUGUUACACCUGCUCAGGCUGUCCUGCUGCUUGGACGGCUCCUUCCUAGGCACGAUCUAUCCCUGGAGGAACUCUGCUCCUUGCACCUUCUGCUACCAGGCCUCAGCCCCCAGACACUCCAGGCCAUCCCUAGGCGAGUCCUGGUCGGGGCUUGUUCCUGCCUGGCCCCUGAA